CCCAUGUAUCUUUACAUGGGGCCUUACUCAAGCAACGACGCGAGAGCUCAGCAACGACGAGCUGCGAGCCCACAUAAACACCCUAAGAGACCUAGGGUCAAACAAAAUUCCGCUCACAAUAGAAAUAUUUUUUGGAAUGGUUUUUUCUCAAAGGCAAACAAGAACGUGAAGCGAAGCAAAGAUAAAAUAUUUUCAAAGUUUCAACAAAUAGGCAAUGAAAUAAACUUCCAAAGAAAAAGCAAAACGAACGACGAAAUAUUUUUGUUGUUUUCUCAAAGAACUUCAAAAGAACAAAAGGAUAAAGAAAUAUUUUAGGGUUUAUUUGAAAAGCAAACAACAAAUAAAAGAAAAAUAGGAAGAAAAAUAAACCAAAAAGAACACUUCAAACAAUUGACACUCAAUAAGACGCAAACGAGAAAUCUUUUGGAGUUUUUGGGUUUUGCAACUUAAACACAGAGACGAAAUAAACGACAAAAAGAAAACAGCAAAGAAAAGCCAAAAAGAACAACCAAAAGAAAACAAAAGAACACCGAAAGAGAAAUAUUUUUUGGAAUUUUGGAAACAUAAAAGGCCAAAAAUAACUUAAAGAAACACAACAGAAAUAUUUUGGAACUUUUGUUUUCUCAAAGAAUGUAAACAAGAGCGUAAAGAGAAGCAAAGAUAAAAUAUUUUCAAAGUUUCAACAAAGAGGCAAUCAAAUAAACUUUCAAAGAAAAAGCAAAACGAACGAGAAAAUAUAUUUUUUGUUUUCUCAAAGAACUUCGAAAGAACAAAAGGACAAAGAAAUCUUUUGGGGUUACUAUUAAAAGCAAACAACAAACAUCCAAAAGAAAAAUAGAAAAAAAACAAAAGAACACCUCAAAUAGUUAACACUCAAUAAGAGCAAAAGAGAAAUCUUUUUGGAAUUUUUGGGUUUUGCAACUUAAACACAAAAAGCAAACAACAAACAUCCAAAAGAAAAAUAGAAAAAAAACAAAAGAACACCUCAAAUAGUUAACACUCAAUAAGAGCAAAAGAGAAAUCUUUUUGGAAUUUUUGGGUUUUGCAACUUAAACACAAAGAGAAAAGAAACGAUGAAAAGAAAACAGCAAAGAAAAGACAAAAAGAACAACCAAAAGAAAACAAGGAAAAUAAACGAACAACGAAAGAGAAAUGUUUUUGGAUUUUCGAAAAGAUAAAAGGCAAAGAACUUAAAGAAACACAACAAUAAUAUUUUUGGAUUUUUUUUCUCGAAGAAGGCAAACAAGAAUGUAAAGACAAGCAAAGAUAAAAUAUUUUCAAAGUUUAAACAAAGAGGCAAUAAAAUACACUUCCAAAGAAAAAGCAAAACGAACGAGGAAAUAUCUUUGUUGUUUUCUCAAAGAACAUCAAAAGAACAAAAGCACAAUGAAAUCUUUUGGGGUUUCUAGAAAACAACAAAAAAACAUACAAAAGAAAAAAUAGGAAGAAAUAGAACAAAAAGAACACUUUGAACACUCGAGACUCAAUAAGAUGCAAACAAGAAAUCUUUUUGGAAUUUUUGGGUUUUGCAACUUAAGCACAAAGACGAAAGGAACAACAAAAAGAAACAGCGAGAAAAGCCAAUAAGAACAAUCAAAAGCAAACGAAGGAAAACAAAAGAAAAGUGAAAGAGAAAUAUUUUUGGAUUUUUUGAAAAUAUAAAAGGCAAAGAACUGAGAGAAACACCACCGAAGUAUUUUUGGAUUUUUUGGUUUUCUCGAAGGCAAACAAUAACGCAAAGAUACAAGAUUUCCAAAGUUUCAACAA
This 1767-nucleotide long non-coding RNA is filed under the name Triticum aestivum (bread wheat). RNAcentral describes it as "long non-coding RNA (TAES_LNC000572)". The record is from RNAcentral. Lineage: Eukaryota; Viridiplantae; Streptophyta; Magnoliopsida; Poales; Poaceae.